Molecule: ribosomal RNA, 544 nt
Filed under: Dothiorella gregaria
Lineage: Eukaryota; Fungi; Ascomycota; Dothideomycetes; Botryosphaeriales; Botryosphaeriaceae
Description: eukaryotic LSU rRNA
Rfam family: 5.8S ribosomal RNA (bases 172-325)
Source: RNAcentral
UCCGUAGGUGAACCUGCGGAAGGAUCAUUACCUAGAGUUUGUGGGCUUUGCCUGCUAUCUCUUACCCAUGUCUUUUGAGUACUUACGUUUCCUCGGCGGGUCCGCCCGCCGUAUUGGACAAAAUUAAACCCUUUGCAGUUGCAAUCAGCGUCUGAAAAACAUAAUAGUUACAACUUUCAACAACGGAUCUCUUGGUUCUGGCAUCGAUGAAGAACGCAGCGAAAUGCGAUAAGUAGUGUGAAUUGCAGAAUUCAGUGAAUCAUCGAAUCUUUGAACGCACAUUGCGCCCCUUGGUAUUCCAUGGGGCAUGCCUGUUCGAGCGUCAUUUGUACCUUCAAGCUCUGCUUGGUGUUGGGUGUUUGUCUCGCCUUUGCGUGUAGACUCGCCUCAAAACAAUUGGCAGCCGGCGUAUUGAUUUCGGAGCGCAGUACAUCUCGCGCUUUGCACUCAUAACGACGACGUCCAAAAAGUACAUUUUUACACUCUUGACCUCGGAUCAGGUAGGGAUACCCGCUGAACUUAAGCAUAUCAAUAAGCGGAGGAA